This 216-nucleotide ribosomal RNA is filed under the name uncultured bacterium. Its description in RNAcentral is "partial 16S ribosomal RNA". It matches the Rfam family "Bacterial small subunit ribosomal RNA", at positions 580 to 793 of the family's 1533-position model. The record is from RNAcentral.
CUUUUAAGUCUAAUGUGAAAGCCUUCGGCUCAACCCGAAGAAGUGCAUUGGAAACUGGGAGGACUUGAGUGCAGAAGAGGACAGUGGAACUCCAUGUGUAGCGGUGAAAUGCGUAGAUAUAUGGAAGAACACCAGUGGCGAAGGCGGCUGUCUGGUCUGUAACUGACGCUGAGGCUCGAAAGCAUGGGUAGCGAACAGGAUUAGAUACCCUGGUAG